CAAAGUAGAAUAGAGUUUGUCAGGAGCUGGGGAGGUGGGAAAUUGGGAGUUACUGUUUAAUGGGUAUGGGGUGUCCCUUUGAGAUGAUGGAAAUAUUUUGACAAGAGGUGGUGGUGGCACAAUAUUGUGAAUGUACUAAAUGCCAUUGAAUUGCACUCUUUAAAAUGAUUAAUUCAUGUGAAUUUAUCUCAAUAAACACAACUCCACCCACCGCCCCCUACACACAGAUGAGCCUAGAACAUCUUGUUUGCCAGAAAGCAAGUCAGUGAUCAAAGAGUGAUGAGGACACUUCAAAAUGACCCAGAACCAGCUUGAAUUGGUCAAAUCAGGGACAAUCUGUAUUUUAUUAACUCAGCAACAAAAAGAAACAAACUACUGAUGUCCACAACAAUGUAGAUUGGUCUCAAAUGCAUUCUGCUAAAUGAACAAAAUGAGCCACUAUAGACUACAUACCAUGUGAUUCUACUUGCAAAACUAUAGUGACAGAAACAGACCAGUGGUUGGCAGGGGUCAGUACUGAAGGGGAGUGGACUGAUUUCAAAUAGGCACUAGGGAACAUUUUUGGGGUUAUAGAAUUAUUCUAUAUAACCAUCAUGGUGGCUACCUCAAUAAAGUGGAUAGGAAAUAGAACUAUCUGCCCAUGUUUGAAAGAGACUUCACAUUUCUCCACUAUUCAGGGAACCCAGCUGCCAUGGCCCGCAUGACCCAGGUGGUCACAGGGGGCCAGGUGAGUGGAGACUGCCCCUUGACAAGGCCCAUGUGCUCUUUGGACACCUGGGCUGCUUCACUCAUUUGUGUCAGCGCUGGACUCCAAGGGUGUAUGAGCAGAAAGAAAUUGUGCCUGACUCCUAAACGGCUUACAGGACAGAGAAGGGGGGGAAGUGAUACUGGGGUUAAGGGUUGUGUCCUGGGAGCCUGAUCUGGAGGCAGCCUGCAAGCAUCUGCAGGAAUAGCACCCUGUUCUCUCUCUGGAAGCCUCUGUGGCCAGUGCAGGAAUCCCAGCCCCUCCCAGCCACAGGAUGGGCUCUGCUUUCCCUGGUGCCAUCGUGUGCUGGCAAAAGGGAACAGCAGAGGUGGAUGCACGGGCUCCAGGCUUGGCAGGAAGACUGGCUGACCCCGCUCUGGGACUGCAGCCCUUGAGAUUUUGAAUAUCAGAGGGAGGGGGUGGCCCAGCAGGCCUGCGCUCUCUGAUGAGGCAUGCGUGUGGUGCAGUGAUGAAACGAGUGGGCAAGGGCUGAAACCACCUCUCCCCUCAGAUUUUCUGGAGCAUCAUUCCCGGCACAGGUGCAAAGAGGCUCAGGAUGCUUAUGACUCCAGUGUAGAUUGUGUCCUUCAUAAAACAGAACAAACCCUCUCCGUCCUGUUCAAUGUUUCUUAUUUUACAUUCUUUUUUUCACAUUACAACUGUGACCCAGGAUUUUGCCUGGGUAAUGGUGUUUGCUUUGGGGACAGCAAGAGGUCAUUCUUCCAUCCCCUCCUUUCACCACAUACAAGGCUGCUGGGGAGGAGGGGUCAGGGACAUCAGAUCAUGGGGCUUUGAAUUCUGCCCUAAGUCCAACCUGGGGCCUGUGAGUCCACUAAAGAGAAAACUCAAAUUGCAUAUUUUUAAAUACAGAGACCAGAUUCAAGUUUGAGAGUAGACAGCUGUGUGUGCAGUGGGGGACUUAGUGGGGACCACAGAGGCGGCAGGGGGGACCAAUGAGUGAGCCCCUCCCAGACUAGAGCGUGGCUCAUGGCUGUAGGAGCAGGGACAUUUGAUAUUGUUGACAGCUUUUGUGUGUGAAGUCCUUUUGUGACCUGAAAGGCACCAGCCCUGUGCCAGAGCCUGUGGUGGGAGCUGUGUCCCCUGGAGGCAGAGGGUGGUCCUGAGUCCUGGGCAGCAGCUCUCCAGUGCAGGCAGCCAGGCUGCCUU
This 1912-nucleotide long non-coding RNA is filed under the name Homo sapiens (human). Its description in RNAcentral is "HSALNT0060056". Lineage: Eukaryota; Metazoa; Chordata; Mammalia; Primates; Hominidae. The record is from RNAcentral.